UACAGAGGGUGCAAGCGUUGUUCGGAAUUAUUGGGCGUAAAGGGUGCGUAGGCGGUUUGGUAAGUCUUAUGUGAAAUCUACAGGCUCAACUUGUAGUCUGCAUGAGAAACUGGCGGGCUUGAGUAUGGGAGAGGUGAGUGGAAUUCCCGGUGUAGCGGUGAAAUGCGUAGAUAUCAGGAGGAACACCUGUGGCGAAAGCGGCUCACUGGACCACAACUGACGCUGAGGCGCGAAAGCUAGGGGAGCAAACAGG
This 253-nucleotide ribosomal RNA is filed under the name uncultured bacterium. Its description in RNAcentral is "partial 16S ribosomal RNA". It matches the Rfam family "Bacterial small subunit ribosomal RNA", at positions 524 to 776 of the family's 1533-position model. The record is from RNAcentral.